GCCUGGAUGGCUCAGUGGUUGAGCAUCUGCCUUUGGUUCAGGUUGUGGGAUCAAGUCCCGCAUCAGGCU
Molecule: transfer RNA, 69 nt
Filed under: Canis lupus familiaris (dog)
Lineage: Eukaryota; Metazoa; Chordata; Mammalia; Carnivora; Canidae
Also listed under: 1 other name
Rfam family: tRNA
About the family: Transfer RNA (tRNA) molecules are approximately 80 nucleotides in length. Their secondary structure includes four short double-helical elements and three loops (D, anti-codon, and T loops). Further hydrogen bonds mediate the characteristic L-shaped molecular structure. tRNAs have two regions of fundamental functional importance: the anti-codon, which is responsible for specific mRNA codon recognition, and the 3' end, to which the tRNAs corresponding amino acid is attached (by aminoacyl-tRNA synthetases). tRNAs cope with the degeneracy of the genetic code in two manners: having more than one tRNA (with a specific anti-codon) for a particular amino acid; and 'wobble' base-pairing, i.e. permitting non-standard base-pairing at the 3rd anti-codon position.
Source: Rfam by way of RNAcentral